Anguilla rostrata (American eel) is the source of this 2125-nucleotide long non-coding RNA. RefSeq lists it as uncharacterized. The record is from RefSeq and is a predicted model, not a curated record. The transcript is spliced from 2 exons. NCBI's taxonomy places the organism in Eukaryota, Metazoa, Chordata, Actinopteri, Anguilliformes, Anguillidae.
UUUGACCUAGGCUGGGAUUGGUUAUUUUAAAGGGAAGAUACAUCAGGGUAGGAGGAGAUCUGGUUGUAUAAAAAGGAUGUAAAACAUAAUGUGAGGAAGCUCUCUGUGUCUUUAUGGUACUGGAGACCUCCCGUAGGCCUACGUACAUGAAAAGAAUUAUUGAUUGAAGAGAAUAAAAAGGUUAUUAGAAGAAAUCAUAAUUUCUAGUCUUUAUUCUUACAUCGCCGACUCACCCACCAAACCUAAGAAGGUUUUCCUCCACAAAAUUUGUUGAGCCAGCCAGGAGUCCAACAACCUCGAGGGAGGCACGCAAGGGAACCGACGGAGUGCAGUGUUUAUCCUUCUAGUGACCGGUCAACUUUAGUAAAAGGCUAAAGAAGCACAGGGGCCACCAGCAGAAACCCCUGAUCUUCCAGUUAAUCCAGGUGAUUGGAUUUACAUGAAGAAUUUCAAAAGGAAGUGGAAACAGCCAAGACAAGUAGGACCUUACCAGGUGAUCCUCGCCACUCCAACAGCAGUUAAGGUAAAGGGGAUUGGACCAUGGGUACACCUAAACCACUGUCGCAGAGCAAAAGAGUCAGAAGCCAAAAGAACCAUAGAAAAAGAAUAAAAGAAUGCCAGUUUCUCUGGGUACUUUCUAUUCUUCUUUUUGUAAACACUCUCCUAAUAGCCAUAAGCAGCAGCAAAACAGACCCUAGUAAGAUUGAAAAGUCAUACCAUGACCUCACCAUAGAUAAGGGCACUGUUACAUCAAUAACCCUGACACCUGGAGAAGUAAUACUACUUAAAAUGACCUUAGUUGUGAAUGACAUAGGUGGAGGAAAGGCAGAAGUGACAGUAGGAUUAAGAAAGUUGUUGGGAGGCCUAGAGGAUGUGAGUAAUGACGGAAAGACGAACCGAAAGAACGGGGAAAAACAACAAAUUAUAGUACCAGGUACAAACAGUGAUACUUCUGAUUUAUACUACUCACAACAAUUAUAUCUGAAAAAUCUACAAUACAUGCAUUGACUGACACAUGAAGAUAGACAUCCACACUCACAGACUGUUAUGACUGAGUGCUUUUGCGUAAUUUUAUGUGUUGUUCCCCUCCCUGCCUAAGGGUGGGGCUGGUCACCUUGUUCUGUGUGUUCCUUAGUAUAUCAAGUUGCAGGUGGUGAUUGGUGAUUGGACGAGAGACUGAUGGUAUCUACUCUAAAAAGGCACCUGCUGAGAUCAGAAGCAGACCGUCUUUUCCUGAUUUCCAACCGGAGUGGGCUGUGCUGUUGUCUACGGAUAGCUGACUGUUAAUGUACUGAUCUCUGUGGUAUACAAUGUAAACAUCUUCUGAAAAUAGCAGUCCUGGUAGCUGUAGGGGUGAGAAGCCUGUUUUCUUUUUACAUUUUUCUCUUGGUUAUGUUAGGGAGGUAGGUAAGAUAUCUGUAUAUCAUUUAUUUCCUUUUGAGAAAGAUAGGUAAGAUAAUUGCUAAUAUUAUGUUUUGUCUAUUGUUUUGACCAUGCUCUCCCCGACGCUUAUUCUACCAUGGUUAAUAAUUAAAUCAAUUCUACCUCCGGCAAGAAGAAGUAUAACUUGCUUAUAAUGAAUACACUUAUAUCCAUGCUUAAUGUUUAUGUGAGACCAAAUGGUCUCAGAGGGGGGAAUGUGGAAGUGUGCUUCUCCUUCAUUCUUUUAAUGUUUUUACAUUUCUUCUUAUUAAAGAUUGUACUGAUAAAGAAUAUAUUUAAAUGUAUGUGAUUAUGGGAUGAUCACUGAAGAACAGUAGGUAUUCUGUGUUAUGUCUAAGAAUUUGUAACUAAGGAAAGUGGCCUCCUUGUACACUGAUGCAUACUACCUAGAGAAUCUUUGAACCCCAGUUGCAGGAGGAAAAUUUGUAAACAUUUACUUAGUGGAAUUUUUUAAGUAACUUCUGUUGGGAAAUAGUCUUGUGCAGAAGACCUUUGAGUUGCAAGAGAAGAGAAAGUAUACUGACCUAGAAAGAACUGAUUUGCUAUAUCUAGUAAAUGUAUAGAUUAUGUUCUAUUAAAAUAAAUGAAUGAAAAUCAAUGUAAUAACAGCAACGGUAAUAAUGUAAACAUAGUUUGUUAGAACAUGGUGGUGUGUAUAUGAGUAAAUAUUUCAUUUGGAUUA